This 497-nucleotide ribosomal RNA is filed under the name uncultured bacterium. RNAcentral describes it as "partial 16S ribosomal RNA". It matches the Rfam family "Bacterial small subunit ribosomal RNA", at positions 28 to 507 of the family's 1533-position model. The record is from RNAcentral.
GAUGAACGCUGGCGGCGUGCCUAAUACAUGCAAGUCGAGCGAACAGACGAGGAGCUUGCUCCUCUGACGUUAGCGGCGGACGGGUGAGUAACACGUGGAUAACCUACCUAUAAGACUGGGAUAACUUCGGGAAACCGGAGCUAAUACCGGAUAAUAUAUUGAACCGCAUGGUUCAAUAGUGAAAGACGGUUUUGCUGUCACUUAUAGAUGGAUCCGCGCCGCAUUAGCUAGUUGGUAAGGUAACGGCUUACCAAGGCAACGAUGCGUAGCCGACCUGAGAGGGUGAUCGGCCACCCUGGAACUGAGCCACGGUCCAGACUCCUACGGGAGGCAGCAGUAGGGAAUCUUCCGCAAUGGGAGAAAGCCUGACGGAGCCACGCCGCGUGAGUGAUGAAGGUCUUCGGAUCGUAAAACUCUGUUAUUAGGGAAGAACAAAUGUGUAAGUAACUAUGCACGUCUUGACGGUACCUAAUCAGAAAGCCACGGCUAACUACGUG